This 253-nucleotide ribosomal RNA is filed under the name uncultured bacterium. RNAcentral describes it as "partial 16S ribosomal RNA". It matches the Rfam family "Bacterial small subunit ribosomal RNA", at positions 524 to 776 of the family's 1533-position model. The record is from RNAcentral.
UACGAAGGGUGCAAGCGUUAAUCGGAAUUACUGGGCGUAAAGGGUGCGUAGGCGGUUGUUUAAGUCUGUCGUGAAAUCCCCGGGCUUAACCUGGGAACUGCGUUUGAAACUGGAAGGCUAGAGUAUGGCAGAGGGGGGUGGAAUUCCACGUGUAGCAGUGAAAUGCGUAGAGAUGUGGAGGAACACCGAUGGCGAAGGCAGCCCCCUGGGCUAACACUGACGCUCAUGCACGAAAGUGUGGGGAGCAAACAGG